UAAUCUCUCUCUCUCUUCUCAUACUUACUCAAUCUCUCUCUCUCUUCUCAUACUUACUCAAUCUCUCUCUCUCUUAACCUCUCUCUCUUUCUUCUCAUAUUUACUCAAUCUCUUUCUCUCUCUCUCUCUUCUCAUACUUACUCAAUCUCUCCCUCUCUUUAGAUCUCUCUUCAUACCUGCUCAAUCUCUCUCUCUUAAUUUCUCUCUCUCUCUCUUCUCAUACUUGCUCAAUCUCUCUCUCUCUUCUCAUACUUGCUCAAUCUCUCUCUCUUUCUCUCAAUUCAUUUCAAUGUAGCUUUAUUAGCAUGACUGUAAAUUACAGUGUUGUCAAAGCAUUAUAACAAUUAACAACAAUGGUAUAGGAACAUACAUAACAGACAUAAUAACAUUUAUAACAGAAAAUAAUGAUUAUUAUUAUUAUGAUAAUUAUAUCAUUUAUCAAUAAUUGUAAUUAUAUAAUAAUAAUAUUUUUCGUAUUUGGCAGCGAGGGGGGCGGUGUGCCCCUCCCCUAGAGUGAUCCGUAAUUUUUCGAAUAGUGAAAAUUCAAAUUCAAAAUUCAAAAUUUGGAAUCAAUUCAUUAAAUUUUUCCAUGAAGAAAUUCCGAGUUCUUUUGAAUUUGUCACACUGUAGAAGGAAGUGCAUCUCCGUCUCGACCUCACCUGUCGUACAGGACUGUUUAUACCUCUCUUCUCAUACUUGCUCAAUCUCUCGCUCUUUCUCUCUCUCUCUUCUCAUACCCGUUCAGUCUCUCUCUAACUUGCGCUCUCUCUCUUUUAAUCUCUCUCUCUCUUGUCAUACUUGCUCUCUCUCUCUCUCUCUCUCUCUUCAUACUUUCUCAAUCUCUCUAAAUUAAUUUCUUUAUUUUUGUAAAUUAGCUUUUUCUUUUUCUCUUUUUCAGUCAUUUGUAACGGUUAUUUAUUAUUAAAGAUUGUCCCCUUUAAACCACAA
This is a long non-coding RNA of Astyanax mexicanus (Mexican tetra), 948 nucleotides long. RefSeq lists it as uncharacterized. The record is from RefSeq and is a predicted model, not a curated record. NCBI's taxonomy places the organism in Eukaryota, Metazoa, Chordata, Actinopteri, Characiformes, Acestrorhamphidae. The transcript is spliced from 2 exons.